This is a non-coding RNA of Coniosporium uncinatum, 108 nucleotides long. Lineage: Eukaryota; Fungi; Ascomycota; Dothideomycetes. The record is from the annotation of a GenBank genome assembly.
GGCCUCGUGGCCCAAUGGCAAGGCGUCUGACUACGAUGGAUUGAUAUCUUAUAUCACAUCAAAAUCAUUGGUAUCAGGAGAUUCCAGGUUCGACCCCUGGCGUGGUCA